GAUGAAGAACGUAGCGAAAUGCGAUACGUAAUGUGAAUUGCAAAUUCAGUGAAUCAUCGAGUCUUUGAACGCACAUUGCGCCCCCUGGUAUUCCGGGGGGCAUGCCUGUCCGAGCGUCAUUGCUGCCCUCAAGCACGGCUUGUGUGUUGGGCCCCGUCCUCCGAUCCCGGGGGACGGGCCCGAAAGGCAGCGGCGGCACCGCGUCCGGUCCUCGAGCGUAUGGGGCUUUGUCACCCGCUCCGUAGGCCCGGCCGGCGCUUGCCGAUCAACCCAAAUUUUUAUCCAGGUUGACCUCGAAUCAGGUAGGGAUACCCGCUGAACUUAAGCAUAUCAAUAAGCGGAGGA
RNAcentral lists this unclassified non-coding RNA (345 nucleotides) under soil metagenome. RNAcentral's name for it is "partial contains 5.8S ribosomal RNA, internal transcribed spacer 2, and large subunit ribosomal RNA". The stretch from base 1 to 119 matches the Rfam family "5.8S ribosomal RNA", at positions 35 to 154 of the family's 154-position model. The record is from RNAcentral.